Molecule: transfer RNA, 68 nt
Filed under: human gut metagenome
Rfam family: tRNA
About the family: Transfer RNA (tRNA) molecules are approximately 80 nucleotides in length. Their secondary structure includes four short double-helical elements and three loops (D, anti-codon, and T loops). Further hydrogen bonds mediate the characteristic L-shaped molecular structure. tRNAs have two regions of fundamental functional importance: the anti-codon, which is responsible for specific mRNA codon recognition, and the 3' end, to which the tRNAs corresponding amino acid is attached (by aminoacyl-tRNA synthetases). tRNAs cope with the degeneracy of the genetic code in two manners: having more than one tRNA (with a specific anti-codon) for a particular amino acid; and 'wobble' base-pairing, i.e. permitting non-standard base-pairing at the 3rd anti-codon position.
Source: RNAcentral
GGGUAUAGUUCAGUCGGUAGAACGUCGGUCUCCAAAACCGGAUGUCGAGGGUUCGAGUCCUUCUGCCC